This 812-nucleotide ribosomal RNA is filed under the name uncultured Bacillus sp. RNAcentral describes it as "SSU rRNA". It matches the Rfam family "Bacterial small subunit ribosomal RNA", at positions 554 to 1364 of the family's 1533-position model. Lineage: Bacteria; Bacillati; Bacillota; Bacilli; Caryophanales; Bacillaceae. The record is from RNAcentral.
UUGGGCGUAAGCGCGCGCAGGUGGUUCUUUAAGUCUGAUGUGAAAGCCCACGGCUCAACCGUGGAGGGUCAUUGGAAACUGGGGAACUUGAGCGCAGAAGAGGAAAGUGGAAUUCCACGUGUAGCGGUGAAAUGCGUAGAGAUGUGGAGGAACACCAGUGGCGAAGGCGACUUUCUGGUCUGUAACUGACACUGAGGCGCGAAAGCGUGGGGAGCGAACAGGAUUAGAUACCCUGGUAGUCCACGCCGUAAACGAUGAGUGCUAAGUGUUAGAGGGUUUCCGCCCUUUAGUGCUGCAGCUAACGCAUUAAGCACUCCGCCUGGGGAGUACGGCCGCAAGGCUGAAACUCAAAGGAAUUGACGGGGGCCCGCACAAGCGGUGGAGCAUGUGGUUUAAUUCGAAGCAACGCGAAGAACCUUACCAGGUCUUGACAUCCUCUGACAACCCUAGAGAUAGGGCUUUCCCCUUCGGGGGACAGAGUGACAGGUGGUGCAUGGUUGUCGUCAGCUCGUGUCGUGAGAUGUUGGGUUAAGUCCCGCAACGAGCGCAACCCUUGAUCUUAGUUGCCAGCAUUCAGUUGGGCACUCUAAGGUGACUGCCGGUGACAAACCGGAGGAAGGUGGGGAUGACGUCAAAUCAUCAUGCCCCUUAUGACCUGGGCUACACACGUGCUACAAUGGAUGGUACAAAGAGUCCGCAAACCCGCGAGGGCAAGCUAAUCUCAUAAAGCCAUUCUCAGUUCGGAUUGCAGGCUGCAACUCGCCUGCAUGAAGCCGGAAUCGCUAGUAAUCGCGGAUCAACAUGCCGCGGUG